ACGAAGGGUGCAAGCGUUAAUCGGAAUUACUGGGUUUAAAGGGUGCGUAGGCGGUCGGGUAAGUCUGACGUGAAAUCUUCAAGCUCAACUUGGAAACUGCGUCGGAUACUAUUCGGCUCGAGGAAUGGAGGGGAGACUGGAAUACUUGGUGUAGCAGUGAAAUGCGUAGAUAUCAAGUGGAACACCAGUGGCGAAGGCGAGUCUCUGGACAUUUCCUGACGCUGAGGCACGAAAGCCAGGGGAGCAAACGGGA
This 253-nucleotide ribosomal RNA is filed under the name uncultured prokaryote. Its description in RNAcentral is "partial 16S ribosomal RNA". It matches the Rfam family "Bacterial small subunit ribosomal RNA", at positions 525 to 777 of the family's 1533-position model. The record is from RNAcentral.